GUGCCAGCCGCCGCGGUAAUACCGGCAGCUCGAGUGAUGGCCAAUCUUAUUGGGCCUAAAGCGUCCGUAGCUGGCCGCACAAGUCCGUCGGGAAAUCCACUCGCUUAACGAGUGGGCGUCCGGCGGAAACUGUGCGGCUUGGGACCGGAAGAUCCGAGGGGUACGUCUGGGGUAGGAGUGAAAUCCCGUAAUCCUGGACGGACCACCGAUGGCGAAAGCACUUCGAGAAAACGGAUCCGACAGUGAGGGACGAAAGCCAGGGUCUCCAACCGGAUUAGAUACCCGGGUAGUCC
Molecule: ribosomal RNA, 293 nt
Filed under: uncultured bacterium
Lineage: Bacteria
Description: partial 16S ribosomal RNA
Rfam family: Archaeal small subunit ribosomal RNA
Source: RNAcentral